Molecule: non-coding RNA, 910 nt
Filed under: Drosophila mojavensis
Lineage: Eukaryota; Metazoa; Arthropoda; Insecta; Diptera; Drosophilidae
Description: Eukaryotic large subunit ribosomal RNA
Rfam family: Eukaryotic large subunit ribosomal RNA
Source: Rfam by way of RNAcentral
CAACCUCAACUCAUAUGGGACUACCCCCUGAAUUUAAGCAUAUUAAUUAGGGGAGGAAAAGAAACUAACAAGGAUUUUCUUAGUAGCGGCGAGCGAAAAGAAAUCAGUUCAGCACUAAGUCACUUUGUCUAUAUGGCAAAUGUGAGAUGCAGUGUAUGGAACAUCAAUAUUCUAGUAUGAGAAAUUAACGAUUUAAGUCCUUCUUAAAUGAGGCCAUUUACCCAUAGAGGGUGCCAGGCCCGUAUAACGUUAAUGAUUACUAGAUGGUGUUUCCAAAGAGUCGUGUUGCUUGAUAGUGCAGCACUAAGUGGGUGGUAAACUCCAUCUAAAACUAAAUAUAACCAUGAGACCGAUAGUAAACAAGUACCGUGAGGGAAAGUUGAAAAGAACUCUGAAUAGAGAGUUAAAUAGUACGUGAAACUGCUUAGAGGUUAAGCCCGAUGAACCUGAAUAUCCGUUAUGGAAAAUUCAUCAUUAGAAUUGUAAUAUUUAAACAAUAUUAUAAUAAUAGUGUGCAUUUUUUCCAUAUAAGGACAUUGAAAUCUAUUAGCAUAUUAAUUUAUCAUAAAAUUAUGGCAUAUAGUUUAUUUCAAUUAAAAUGCUUGCGAUUCUACAUGAAAUAAACGCUGCAACUUUGACACAGGGCUGAUAGAUUUAUAUAAAUACAGGGCGUUAAUUUUUUCGUAAAUAUAUAAUGCCAUGAUUAUCAUGGAUUUCUGUGAAGAUUAUCUGCACUUGUAUGAUUCACACUGCGUAACAUUCAGGAUACCUUCGGGCAGCCGCCCUCUAUCGCGGACCAGCCAGUCUAACAUAGGCGUCAGUUAUUGGGUUACUCACCUUAGUAGAGUGAUGACCCUGACUACUGAAUGCGAAUAGUGUCUUACCAAUUAGUGACGGAAUAGACGAAACC